This is a long non-coding RNA of Pezoporus occidentalis (night parrot), 594 nucleotides long. RefSeq lists it as uncharacterized. The record is from RefSeq and is a predicted model, not a curated record. NCBI's taxonomy places the organism in Eukaryota, Metazoa, Chordata, Aves, Psittaciformes, Psittacidae. The transcript is spliced from 3 exons.
CCAGGCUGAACAACCCCAACUCUCUCAGCCUUUCCUCACAGGAGAGGCGCUCCAUCCCCCUGAUCAUUUUUGUGGCCCUCCCCUGGACCCUCUCCAACAGGUCCAUAUGUUUCCUGUACUGAAGAUUCCAGAGCUUGAUGCAGUACUCCAGCAUUGGACCAAUGCAAAAAUAUAGGGAAAUCACAGGAAAAUCACCUGGCUUCUGGGGUCUGCCCAGCCUCCUCUCCUUUGUUCUGUGGCACCUUGAUAAAAGUUCUGGAUGUCUUUUCCAUUUGAUGUUUUCUAUUUGUCUCUGUUGUCUUACACCUAAGGAAAAAAAUCAGAACCUCUGCAUGUGGACACAGCUUCUGUUCAGAAGCAUUUUAACUCCUUGACACUGUUCAGAACAUGUAUGAACAAGAGGUGAUGCCUUCAUUCAAAACAUGGAAGAAAAAGUCAGAAGACUAUCAUUCAUUUCAGUGGAGUUUCAGAAUGGACUUCUACUCUAAGGAUGCUGUCUUGGAUCAUAUGGAAGGAAGAAAAUUGUCACAGUAGACUGCUGCACUCCAUGGUCAUAGAGCCAAAAUAAAUUUACUUUAUUCACUAGAGACUCUG